RNAcentral lists this long non-coding RNA (390 nucleotides) under Citrus sinensis (sweet orange). Its description in RNAcentral is "long non-coding RNA (CSIN_LNC005471)". Lineage: Eukaryota; Viridiplantae; Streptophyta; Magnoliopsida; Sapindales; Rutaceae. The record is from RNAcentral.
UUGUCUCUAAUAUUGUUUGCAUCUUUCUUCUGGUCAAUACUUAAGUUAUUUUGACUGAUUCAAUUUUCCUCUAUUAUCUAAAUCAUUCCUUAUAUCAAUUCAAUCAGUUUUGAACUAGAAACCUUUUCCUUGUUUCCAUCUUCUCACCAGAUUCACAACAGUUUUUAAGCUUUCUUUGAUUUUUUUUUUUUUUUUUUUUUUUUUUUUUUUUUUUUUUUUUUUUUUUUUUUUUUUUUUUUUUGCCCCUCUUUCUCUCUGUUUUUCGCUCGUCGUUUAUUUUCAUUUCGGAACUUUGAAAAAAAGAGGAUCGAAGAUGGUGGAAAGCAUUGUUACUGUUCUGUUAGAAGUAAAAAAAAAAAAAAAAAAAAAAAAAAAAAAAAAAAAAAAAAA